Molecule: long non-coding RNA, 941 nt
Organism: Ceratitis capitata (Mediterranean fruit fly)
Lineage: Eukaryota; Metazoa; Arthropoda; Insecta; Diptera; Tephritidae
Exons: 3
Source: RefSeq, a predicted model, not a curated record
CGACUACGCACUGCCUUAACACUGCAUGCACAGCUGCAACUUACAUACGUCUGAAACUUUAGAACAACAUCAAAUAAUUUUAGAUAAAUAUUUGUCUUAUAUUUGUUUGAAUGUAGGUAAAAGCAUAUAUUAUUUUAAAUACACGAAAGUGUGCAAAAAUGUUUGUGAAAAACAUAAAAACUCGUACAGUAGAUUACUCUGCUGACAACUAUUAAGUGAGAAAAAACUGCGUCAUCGACUAGCUAACAUUUCCUGCGGAAGCGCCAUUAUUUCGUUGGCAUUUAGUAAAUUUUAUGAGAAAUGCAAUGAUUGGAUCCUAUUGUGCUAUGAGUAUUCCAAGUAGAUUUAUGGCGGAUUUGUGUGCAAAGUUUCUCGUCAUCACUAAAUGAAAAAAAAACCAAUAAUCCGAAAUUCGGCUUCCAUCUGCGAAUUACGUCUUGGAAUGCAAUAUUAUUGUAUAAAUGUUAAAAUCAUUUUGAAGUUGCGACUGAUUUCGAAGACGAUCUUGGUAAACUAUUAAAUAGAAAUGCUACCUUUUUUACUACUUGCCUCCGGACGUAUUAAUUAAAUUUCUACAAAUGUAUCGAGUCAGAUUAAUUUCACUCGGCAGCGAUCUAGAACUUUCCGAAUCGCCUAAGUUAAAUAGAGUAACAAAGAGCUCUUCGAGCCUAAGAUUUAAACCUGGAUUAAAAUUAUUUCCAACUAAAUGAUAAUUUGGAGCUGUACCAAACUGAGCCAGUACCCCGAUUAAAAGCCUGAUGACCAACAAAGAGACUAACAUUUAUUUUUAUGCACAAAUAUCCAAGGACCAGCACACGCAGAUGUACACAUGUGUAUGUAUAUAUUGACUUUGUGAAUAUGUAAAUCCCUACGCAUGGCUUUGUGUGUCGCCGAAAAUGUUUUGACAUAUUGAAAUAAACGCUUAUGGCGGUAAUGUGCUU